RNAcentral lists this ribosomal RNA (3014 nucleotides) under Salmonella enterica subsp. enterica serovar Ouakam str. SA20034636. RNAcentral's name for it is "bacterial LSU rRNA". It matches the Rfam family "Bacterial large subunit ribosomal RNA". Lineage: Bacteria; Pseudomonadati; Pseudomonadota; Gammaproteobacteria; Enterobacterales; Enterobacteriaceae. The record is from RNAcentral.
GGGUUGUGAGGUUAAGCGACUAAGCGUACACGGUGGAUGCCCUGGCAGUCAGAGGCGAUGAAGGGCGUGCUAAUCUGCGAUAAGCGCCGGUAAGGUGAUAUGAACCGUUAUAACCGGCGAUACCCGAAUGGGGAAACCCAGUGUGACUCGUCACACUAUCAUUAACUGAAUCCAUAGGUUAAUGAGGCGAACCGGGGGAACUGAAACAUCUAAGUACCCCGAGGAAAAGAAAUCAACCGAGAUUCCCCCAGUAGCGGCGAGCGAACGGGGAGGAGCCCAGAGCCUGAAUCAGCAUGUGUGUUAGUGGAAGCGUCUGGAAAGGCGCGCGAUACAGGGUGACAGCCCCGUACACAAAAGCGCAUGUGCUGUGAGCUCGAUGAGUAGGGCGGGACACGUGGUAUCCUGUCUGAAUAUGGGGGACCAUCCUCCAAGGCUAAAUACUCCUGACUGACCGAUAGUGAACCAGUACCGUGAGGGAAAGGCGAAAAGAACCCCGGCGAGGGGAGUGAAAAAGAACCUGAAACCGUGUACGUACAAGCAGUGGGAGCACAGGUUUACCUGUGUGACUGCGUACCUUUUGUAUAAUGGGUCAGCGACUUAUAUUCUGUAGCAAGGUUAACCGAAUAGGGGAGCCGGAGGGAAACCGAGUCUUAACCGGGCGUUAAGUUGCAGGGUAUAGACCCGAAACCCGGUGAUCUAGCCAUGGGCAGGUUGAAGGUUGGGUAACACUAACUGGAGGACCGAACCGACUAAUGUUGAAAAAUUAGCGGAUGACCUGUGGCUGGGGGUGAAAGGCCAAUCAAACCGGGAGAUAGCUGGUUCUCCCCGAAAGCUAUUUAGGUAGCGCCUCGUGAAUUCAUCUCCGGGGGUAGAGCACUGUUUCGGCUAGGGGGCCAUCCCGGCUUACCAACCCGAUGCAAACUGCGAAUACCGGAGAAUGUUAUCACGGGAGACACACGGCGGGUGCUAACGUCCGUCGUGAAGAGGGAAACAACCCAGACCGCCAGCUAAGGUCCCAAAGUCAUGGUUAAGUGGGAAACGAUGUGGGAAGGCCCAGACAGCCAGGAUGUUGGCUUAGAAGCAGCCAUCAUUUAAAGAAAGCGUAAUAGCUCACUGGUCGAGUCGGCCUGCGCGGAAGAUGUAACGGGGCUAAACCAUGCACCGAAGCUGCGGCAGCGAACGUAUCACCCAAGACAACUUUACGGAGUUGACGAUUGACGGAGCGAAGCGACGUCAAAGCGUUCAUUAAAGUCGAGUUGGCUUAGGGAUACGUUCGUUGGGUAGGGGAGCGUUCUGUAAGCCUGUGAAGGUGGCCUGUGAGGGUUGCUGGAGGUAUCAGAAGUGCGAAUGCUGACAUAAGUAACGAUAAAGCGGGUGAAAAGCCCGCUCGCCGGAAGACCAAGGGUUCCUGUCCAACGUUAAUCGGGGCAGGGUGAGUCGACCCCUAAGGCGAGGCCGAAAGGCGUAGUCGAUGGGAAACGGGUUAAUAUUCCCGUACUUGGUGUUACUGCGAAGGGGGGACGGAGAAGGCUAUGUUGGCCGGGCGACGGUUGUCCCGGUUUAAGCGUGUAGGUGUGUGUUCCAGGUAAAUCCGGUUCACUUUAACACUGAGGCGUGAUGACGAGGCACUACGGUGCUGAAGCAACAAAUGCCCUGCUUCCAGGAAAAGCCUCUAAGCAUCAGGUAACAUCAAAUCGUACCCCAAACCGACACAGGUGGUCAGGUAGAGAAUACCAAGGCGCUUGAGAGAACUCGGGUGAAGGAACUAGGCAAAAUGGUGCCGUAACUUCGGGAGAAGGCACGCUGAUAGGUAGGUGAAGCGGUUUACCCGUGGAGCUGAAAUCAGUCGAAGAUACCAGCUGGCUGCAACUGUUUAUUAAAAACACAGCACUGUGCAAACACGAAAGUGGACGUAUACGGUGUGACGCCUGCCCGGUGCCGGAAGGUUAAUUGAUGGGGUUAUCCGUAAGGAGAAGCUCCUGAUCGAAGCCCCGGUAAACGGCGGCCGUAACUAUAACGGUCCUAAGGUAGCGAAAUUCCUUGUCGGGUAAGUUCCGACCUGCACGAAUGGCGUAAUGAUGGCCAGGCUGUCUCCACCCGAGACUCAGUGAAAUUGAACUCGCUGUGAAGAUGCAGUGUACCCGCGGCAAGACGGAAAGACCCCGUGAACCUUUACUAUAGCUUGACACUGAACAUUGAGCCUUGAUGUGUAGGAUAGGUGGGAGGCUUUGAAGCGUGGACGCCAGUCUGCGUGGAGCCGACCUUGAAAUACCACCCUUUAAUGUUUGAUGUUCUAACGUGGACCCGUUAGCCGGGUUGCGGACAGUGUCUGGUGGGUAGUUUGACUGGGGCGGUCUCCUCCUAAAGAGUAACGGAGGAGCACGAAGGUUGGCUAAUCCUGGUCGGACAUCAGGAGGUUAGUGCAAUGGCAUAAGCCAGCUUGACUGCGAGCGUGACGGCGCGAGCAGGUGCGAAAGCAGGUCAUAGUGAUCCGGUGGUUCUGAAUGGAAGGGCCAUCGCUCAACGGAUAAAAGGUACUCCGGGGAUAACAGGCUGAUACCGCCCAAGAGUUCAUAUCGACGGCGGUGUUUGGCACCUCGAUGUCGGCUCAUCACAUCCUGGGGCUGAAGUAGGUCCCAAGGGUAUGGCUGUUCGCCAUUUAAAGUGGUACGCGAGCUGGGUUUAGAACGUCGUGAGACAGUUCGGUCCCUAUCUGCCGUGGGCGCUGGAGAACUGAGGGGGGCUGCUCCUAGUACGAGAGGACCGGAGUGGACGCAUCACUGGUGUUCGGGUUGUCAUGCCAAUGGCACUGCCCGGUAGCUAAAUGCGGAAGAGAUAAGUGCUGAAAGCAUCUAAGCACGAAACUUGCCCCGAGAUGAGUUCUCCCUGAGACUUUAAGUCUCCUGAAGGAACGUUGAAGACGACGACGUUGAUAGGCCGGGUGUGUAAGCGCAGCGAUGCGUUGAGCUAACCGGUACUAAUGAACCGUGAGGCUUAACCUUACAACGCCGAAG